RNAcentral lists this ribosomal RNA (425 nucleotides) under uncultured bacterium. RNAcentral describes it as "bacterial SSU rRNA". It matches the Rfam family "Bacterial small subunit ribosomal RNA", at positions 359 to 776 of the family's 1533-position model. The record is from RNAcentral.
GAAUAUUGGACAAUGGGCGAAAGCCUGAUCCAGCCAUGCCGCGUGUGUGAAGAAGGUCUUCGGAUUGUAAAGCACUUUAAGUUGGGAGGAAGGGUGGUAACUUAAUACGUUGCUAUUUUGACGUUACCGACAGAAUAAGCACCGGCUAACUCUGUGCCAGCAGCCGCGGUAAUACAGAGGGUGCGAGCGUUAAUCGGAAUUACUGGGCGUAAAGCGCACGUAGGUGGCGACGUAAGUCGGGUGUGAAAGCCCCGGGCUCAACCUGGGAAUUGCAUUCGAGACUGCAUUGCUGGAGUACGGAAGAGGAGGGCGGAAUUCCCGGUGUAGCGGUGAAAUGCGUAGAUAUCGGGAGGAACAUCAGUGGCGAAGGCGGCCCUCUGGUCCAGUACUGACACUCAAGUGCGAAAGCGUGGGGAGCAAACAGG